Molecule: ribosomal RNA, 354 nt
Filed under: unidentified archaeon
Lineage: Archaea
Description: bacterial SSU rRNA
Rfam family: Archaeal small subunit ribosomal RNA
Source: RNAcentral
UCAGUAACACGUAGUCAACAUGCCCAGAGGACGUGGAUAACCUCGGGAAACUGAGGAUAAACCGCGAUAGGUCAUAAUAUCUGGAAUGAUUUAUGGCUUAAAUCUAUAUGGCCUCUGGAUUGGACUGCGGCCGAUCAGGCUGUUGGUGAGGUAAUGGGCCACAAACCUAAAACCGGUACGGGCUCUGAGAGGAGAAAGCCCGGAGAUGGGCACUGAGACAAGGGCCCAGGGCCCUAUGGGGCGCAGCAAGGCGCGAAAACUCUGGCAAUUAAAGCGAAAGGUUGACCAGGGUUNAUUUCUGAGUGAUUUCCGGAUUAAGGGAAUCUUUUGGUAACUCUUAAAAAUGGUACAGAA